CUCACCUUGCGCAUUGCCAAGAGUAUGAUCGCUACUUGGACCAGUGCUGAAACUUGACGUUGAACCACUUCCCAGCUGCCAAUCAAAAGUGUCCGUUCCAUCCUGGACCUCCAGCCACGUACAACGUCCUUUCUCAAAAGUACAAUCACCUGGACGAGGACACGCACCAUCCUGUAAACUGACGUCAUCGACAGCAAUAUCCCCGAAGGGCCCACUGCCCCGGACUCCUUCGAAUGAAACUCUUGUUCCUCUGAAGAAACUCAGUUGUAUAGGUACCUG
Molecule: non-coding RNA, 279 nt
Organism: Paramuricea clavata
Lineage: Eukaryota; Metazoa; Cnidaria; Anthozoa; Malacalcyonacea; Plexauridae
Source: the annotation of a GenBank genome assembly